GGAGCCGUGGUGCAGCCGGUCUAACACGCCAGCCUGUCAAGCUGGAGAUCGCGGGUUCGAGUCCCGUCGGCUCCGCCA
This 78-nucleotide transfer RNA is filed under the name Bacillota bacterium. RNAcentral's name for it is "Firmicutes bacterium (anaerobic digester metagenome) tRNA-Asp". It matches the Rfam family "tRNA". From Rfam's summary of the family: Transfer RNA (tRNA) molecules are approximately 80 nucleotides in length. Lineage: Bacteria; Bacillati; Bacillota. The record is from RNAcentral.